AAAUAAAAAAAUAAAUAAAUAAAAAAAUAAAUAAAUAAAUAAAAAAAAUAUGCAUGUAUGUUUGUGCGUAAGAAUACAUUUACAUCUAUUUAUAUACCGUUUUUUUAAUGUGAUAAGUGCUCAAAAUAUAUAUCCAUUUGUAUGUUUUAACUUUUAGGUAUGUAGCUAAAGAAAAUAUAAAUAAUGACUUAAAUACACAGACUGAGCUUAACAAUAUAGUUAUAGAUAAUGGAGAAGAAAAAAAGGGAUGGUGCUGUUAUAAGUAAAGAUAUUAAUGAUAAAAAUGUUGGUUUAGAAAAAGAAGAAAGUAAGAUGUUUAUUGAAAAAGAAUUAACAGAAGAUAAAAUAGGAAUGUAUAAAUCUAAUUUUGACGAUUCUGUUGAAUAUAAUAAAGAACAAAAUGAAAAGAAUGAAGAAAAUGAAAAAAAUGGAGAGAACGAUUUUAGUUUUGGUAAUAGUUUAUCUAUGACGCAGUUAGGUCAAAGUAAUAAUGGUAAGUUACCAAAUCCUAGAAUAGAACAAGUGUUUAAGCCAAAAAUAGUAAAAAAUGUAGAAGUUCAAAAACAUUUACCGAUUUCUGUGGAUGUUCCAGUUCCUUAUAUGGUACCAAAACCAGUUGUAGUGAAUGUACAAGUACCUGUAUUGAAAUUUAGAGAUACGUUUGUACCUGUACCAGUUAGAAAAAGAAUUAUUCCAAAAAUUACAUGGAUUAAGCAAACUUAUCAGGUUGAUUGUAUUAAAGAAAGACCAUAUUUAAAAAUACAAGAUGUAAUUAAACCAGUUCCAUGUGAAGCAAAAAUAACUAGUAAAAAAUAUAUCGAUAGAGCUUAUGCAAUUAACCCAAACGAGUUACCUCAGGACGAUAUCCAUGGCAUGUGGAUGAGAGUAAAUGCUCACUUGGCUGAUCAAAUGAAGAAGGAGUAUGGUGAUAUGUUCCCGUAUUAUAAAAACGAUGAAGAAAACGAAAAAAGAAGUGACAAAUCGUCGGAGGGACAUGAGGAAAACACCUCAAAUGAAAAUUCCAAUGAAGAUAGUAAUGGGAAUUUAGACACAUGGUCUUCUACAGAUCCAAAUAAUGGUGCUGAACACCAAACAGAUAAACAUAACUUCGUAGAUAAAAACAACCAAUAUAGUGAACACGAAAUUAAUAAUGACAGUAGAGACAAUAGAGAUAAUCGAGAAAGUUUAGAAUUUACAGGAGAAAGAAUAUAUUUAAAUUCUAAUGAAGAAAAUGCUAUUAAUAAUAUAAAUGUAGAAAAUAACAACAGUAAUAAAAUAAAUAAAAGAGAAAAUAGUAGUGAACAUAUAAAUAAUGAGUUGAAUCAAUAUAGUUUUAUUAAUACAAGAAAUGAAAUAGAAAAUAAUAGUAAUGAUUAUUCUUAUAAUAAAGAUGAACAAGCUGAAACAAAUAUAACAAAACAUAAUAUAUAUUCUACAUAUAAAAACGACAACAGCGAGAAUAACGAGGAUAAUAAUGUAGACGUUAGUGGAGAUGUUAGUGGAGAUAAUAACAAGUUUUGUUUAAGUAAGUUAUGUUGUAAAAAAAACAAAUAA
RNAcentral lists this long non-coding RNA (1554 nucleotides) under Piliocolobus tephrosceles (Ugandan red Colobus). RNAcentral describes it as "lncRNA (ENSPTEG00000029571.1)". Lineage: Eukaryota; Metazoa; Chordata; Mammalia; Primates; Cercopithecidae. The record is from RNAcentral.